RNAcentral lists this non-coding RNA (27 nucleotides) under Mus musculus (house mouse). Lineage: Eukaryota; Metazoa; Chordata; Mammalia; Rodentia; Muridae. The record is from RNAcentral.
UGUAAGCCUUAGCUAAUGUAAUGCCUG